Molecule: ribosomal RNA, 789 nt
Filed under: Methanoculleus sp. enrichment culture clone A5_61
Lineage: Archaea; Methanobacteriati; Methanobacteriota; Methanomicrobia; Methanomicrobiales; Methanomicrobiaceae
Description: bacterial SSU rRNA
Rfam family: Archaeal small subunit ribosomal RNA
Source: RNAcentral
ACUGCUCAGUAACACGUGGAUAACCUGCCCUAGGGAAGGGGAUAACCCCGGGAAACUGGGGAUAAUACCCUAUAGAUUACAGACGCUGGAAUGCCCUGUAACCGAAAGUUCCGGCGCCUUAGGAUGGAUCUGCGGCCGAUUAGGUUGUUGUUGGGGUAACGGCCCAACAAGCCGAUAAUCGGUACGGGUUGUGGGAGCAAGAGCCCGGAGUUGGAUUCUGAGACAUGAAUCCAGGCCCUACGGGGCGCAGCAGGCGCGAAAACUUUACAAUGCGGGAAACCGUGAUAAGGGAACCCCGAGUGCCUGUAUAUGCAGGCUGUCCAGGUGUCUAAAAAACACCUGAAGAAAGGGCCGGGCAAGACCGGUGCCAGCCGCCGCGGUAAUACCGGCGGCUCGAGUGGUGGCCACUUUUAUUGGGCUUAAAGCGUUCGUAGCUGGGUUGUUAAGUCUCUUGGGAAAUCUGACGGCUCAACCGUCAGGCGUCCAAGGGAUACUGGCAAUCUUGGAACCGGGAGAGGUGAGGGGUACUUCGGGGGUAGGAGUGAAAUCCUGUAAUCCUCGAGGGACCACCUGUGGCGAAGGCGCCUCACCAGAACGGCUUCGACAGUGAGGGACGAAAGCUGGGGGAGCAAACCGGAUUAGAUACCCGGGUAGUCCCAGCCGUAAACGAUGCGCGUUAGGUGUAUCGGUGACCACGAGUCACCGAGGUGCCGGAGGGAAACCGUGAAACGUGCCGCCUGGGAAGUACGGUCGCAAGGCUGAAACUUAAAGGAAUUGGCGGGGGAGCAC